Long non-coding RNA from Vespula pensylvanica (western yellowjacket), 728 nucleotides. RefSeq lists it as uncharacterized. Lineage: Eukaryota; Metazoa; Arthropoda; Insecta; Hymenoptera; Vespidae. The transcript is spliced from 3 exons. The record is from RefSeq and is a predicted model, not a curated record.
AAAAAGAAGGAAAGCAAUGGUCCGCCAUAUGGCGUUCGCGAAACCGAAGUCUUUCUCGAAGUGGUUAUAUUACUAAAGUUCCCUUAUUUCUCUUUCACUCUACGGUGAGAUAGAUAGAGAAAGAAAGAAAGAGAUAGAUAGAUAGAUAGAUAGAUAGAUAGAUACAUAGAUAGAGAGAAAAAAAGAAAAAGAGAAAGAUAGAAUUGUGACCAGGAUUUCAUCUGUCAACAUCUGUUUCCUUGGUUGAACAUGAGAUUCCAUUACUUGGAAACGUCCUGAAGGAGUAAACGAAGAAGAAGAAGAAGAAGAAAACUAUGGGAUCGUAUCCUCUACCUGUCCAUAUACUUUAGCUCCCAUAAGAGAUACCCUACCACAAAGAUCUAGAUCUCUCUUUGUUCCCUAAAUCUCUUACAUGAAGAUAUAAAGUGGGAGAAGGAUAACGUAUGUGUGUAUGGGUAUAAUGGGUAUGAGUCUUCCUACAUGUUUUUUCAUCGAAACGACGGAUUUUCAUCAUAGGAUUUCUUAUAUAGAAAGGAGAACAUACCAGAAGAUCAGUUGGCAGAGUUAUUGGUAAAAGGAAAAGUAAAUAAAUAAACAACUGGAAAGAAAAAUUGAUAAAACCAGCUUGCGCUAUUAAUAAUAUAUCCGACGAGUCCGAGGUAUCAACGAACGAAAUAUUUUUCUAUGGAAAUUGUUGCAGUUGGCAGUAAUUAUCGAUAAGAAGAUUA